UGAAUUGUUUUCAAUCUUGAGCCUACUUAGCAUGUGUAACCCUUGCCAAGAAAGCCAAGUUAGUUGAGUAGAAGAAGCCCCACCUGCCUCCAAAAUUGACUGUAUCCUAGCUGCUCUGUUUGGCCAAGCCUCCACCAUUCACAGACAUGAGCAGAUCCUAACUGAGAUCCAUGUGAGCAAACUGAGUCUCGAGCCUCUCUCGUUUAAACCAUCCCAUCUGUUCCAGAUGUGAGGCCCACACCUCCAUUUCCUGGGCUUCUACCUGAGCCAAGACUGCCUGCACCAGAGAGGUGUUUCACUGUUUUCCCUGCUGAGGAUCUGUUGGGAGCAAGUGGUGUAAUGCUAAAUUUCUCCAAAUCUGUUUCCAUGAAGAAACAAACUCAUCUACAUCAUGGCCUGAGGGUUCAGGCUCUAAGCAGACAGGAAAUCAAAGAGAUGAUGGUCAUUUUGAGGGAUUUGAUUUUCAUUUCCUUCAGUCUUUGUAUCAUGACUUAAGUCUAUUUUGACUUUCUGACCUCAGCAGGAACUUGAAUGACCCCUUCAGUAUGUUGUCUUGUAUUACAGUUCCUCCAAGAGAUCUUUUCAAGUCAUAAUGCAAGCCACAAUACUUUAAGUUAAUGAAUAUAUACAACUGUCUUUUAACCAAACCAACACAAUUAAAAUUCUUGAAUAAAAAAGUAUUGAUAGUUGAAAGUUGAAUGAAAUAAAAAUAAAAAGUAAAAGAAAAAAUCUUAUUCUGUGCAUUGUACAGGUUGAUUUGAAUGAAACAUAGUCAGGAUAGCAUUUGGGAAAUAAUUUGCAUGAACGUUAUUAUCUUCAACAAGACUAUGAAAGUGGAAAGA
This is a long non-coding RNA of Cyprinus carpio (common carp), 842 nucleotides long. RefSeq lists it as uncharacterized. The record is from RefSeq and is a predicted model, not a curated record. Lineage: Eukaryota; Metazoa; Chordata; Actinopteri; Cypriniformes; Cyprinidae. The transcript is spliced from 3 exons.